GACCUGGCCUGCCGUGUGGUGUGAAAUGCAGAUAUUUCCCCAGUUGUCUGGAGAUCAAUGGUGGAUCCCCAAGUUUGAGGGUUCCCACAUUGAUCUAAUGAAUAGAACUCAUCGCAUAGAUGAUUUUGAGAAUUGGCCAGAGGGAUGGGUGUGCCCAGCUUGUAACCAUUUGUAUGAGCCAUGCACUUACACUCAUGACCCCAGUCAUUGUAGGUGGGAACCCUGGUGGUUACAAGAGACCCUCACAUAUGACUUAAGGAAUGGGACAGCUUGCGUGUUUUCUUCCAACCUGAAUCAGUGGAAUGGGGAUGAGGUCUCCUCACCCCCUGUGUGUGAAUGCCACCAUCAGGUGAUGAUUAUUACUGACCUCCAUACCAAGGAGAGCGUCCCCUUCCUUAAUGUCUCAUAUGAGGCCAUACAGUUGUGGAAAUGAGUUU
Long non-coding RNA from Gavialis gangeticus (Gharial), 437 nucleotides. RefSeq lists it as uncharacterized. The record is from RefSeq and is a predicted model, not a curated record. The transcript is spliced from 3 exons. NCBI's taxonomy places the organism in Eukaryota, Metazoa, Chordata, Crocodylia, Gavialidae.